AUUGAACGCUGGCGGUAUGCUUAACACAUGCAAGUCGAACGCGAAAGUUCCUUCGGGAGCGAGUAGAGUGGCGAACGGGUGCGUAACACGUAGGAAUCUACCUUUCUGUGGGGGACAACUCGGAGAAAUCCGAGCUAAUACCGCAUACGCCCUACGGGGGAAAGCAGGGGACCUCUUCAGAGGCCUUGUGCGGAAAGAUGAGCCUGCGUCGGAUUAGCUUGUUGGUGGGGUAAUGGCCUACCAAGGCAACGAUCCGUAGCUGGUCUGAGAGGAUGAUCAGCCACACUGGGACUGAGACACGGCCCAG
This 307-nucleotide ribosomal RNA is filed under the name uncultured bacterium. Its description in RNAcentral is "bacterial SSU rRNA". It matches the Rfam family "Bacterial small subunit ribosomal RNA", at positions 30 to 334 of the family's 1533-position model. The record is from RNAcentral.